GGUUUGAUUAUGGCUCAGAUUGAACGCUGGCGGGAUGCUUUACAUGCAAGUCGAACGGCAGCACGGACUUCGGUCUGGUGGCGAGUGGCGAACGGGUGAGUAAUGUAUCGGAACGUGCCUAGUAGCGGGGAUAACUACGCGAAAGCGUAGCUAAUACCGCAUACCGCCCUUCGGGGGAAAGCGGGGGACCUUCGGGCCUCGCACUAUUAGAGCGGCCGAUAUCGGAUUAGCUAGUUGGUGGGGUAACGGCUCACCAAGGCGACGAUCCGUAGCCGGUUUGAGAGGACGACCAGCCACACUGGGACUGAGACACGGCCCAGACUCCUACGGAGGCAGCAGUGGGGAAAUUUUGGACAAUGGGGAAACUCCCGAUCCAGCCAUCCCGCGUGUGCGAUGGAAGGCCUUCGGGCUGUAAAGCACUUUUGGCAGGAAAGAAACGGCACGGGAUAAUACCCCGUGCAACUGACGGUACCUGCAGAACAAGCACCGGCUAAUCACGUGCCAGCAGCCGCGGUAAUACGGGGUGCAAGCGUUAAUCGGAAUUACUGGGCGUAAAGGUGCGCAGGCGGUUCGGAAAGAAAGAUGUGAAAUCCUGAGCUUAACUUUGGAACUGCAUUUUUAACUACCGAGCUAGAGUGGUGUCAGAGGGAGGUGGAAUUCGUAGCAGUGAAAUGCGUAGAUAUGCGGAGAACACCGAUGGCGAAGGCAGCCUCCUGGGAUAACACUGACGCUCAUGCACGAAAGCGUGGGGAGCAAACAGGAUUAGAUACUCCUGGUAGUCCACGCCCUAAACGAUGUCAACUAGCUGUUGGGGCCUUCGGGCUCUUGGUAGCGCAGUUAACGCGCGAAGUUGACCGCCUGGGGAGUACGGUCGCAAGAUUAAAACUCAAAGGAAUUGGACGGGGACCCGCACAAGCGGUGGACGAUGUGGAUUAAUUCGAUGCAACGCGAAAACCUUACCUACCCUUGACAUGUUCGGGAACUCGAAGAUUUGGGAGUGCUCGCAAAGAGAACCGGAACACAGGUGCUGCAUGGCUGUCGUCAGCUCGUGUCGUGAGAUGUUGGGUUAAGUCCCGCAACGAGCGCAAACCUCCUUGUCAUUAGUUGCUACGAAAGGGCACUCUAAUGAGACUGCCGGUGACAAACCGGAGGAAGGUGGGGAUGACGUCAAGUCCUCAUGGCCCUGGUAGGGUCACGUCAUACAAUGGUCGGGACAGAGGGUCGCCAACCCGCGAGGGUUAAUCCUGCAAACCCGAUCGUAGUCCGGAUCGCAGUCUGCAACUCGACUGCGUGAAGUCGGAAUCGCUAGUAAUCGCGGAUCAGCAUGUCACGGUGAAUACGUUCCCGGGUCUUGUACACACCGCCCGUCACACCAUGGGAGUGGGUUUUACCAGAAGUAGUUAGCCUAACCGUAAGGAGGGCGAUUACCACGGUAGGAUUCAUGACUGGGGUGAAGUCGUAACAAGGUAG
This 1470-nucleotide ribosomal RNA is filed under the name uncultured Bordetella sp. RNAcentral describes it as "partial 16S-23S ribosomal RNA intergenic spacer". It matches the Rfam family "Bacterial small subunit ribosomal RNA". The record is from RNAcentral. Lineage: Bacteria; Pseudomonadati; Pseudomonadota; Betaproteobacteria; Burkholderiales; Alcaligenaceae.